UACGUAGGGCGCAAGCGUUGUCCGGAAUUAUUGGGCGUAAAGAGCUCGUAGGCGGUUUGUCGCGUCUGCCGUGAAAGUCCGGGGCUCAACUCCGGAUCUGCGGUGGGUACGGGCUGGCUAGAGUGUGGUAGGGGAGAUCGGAAUUCCUGGUGUAGCGGUGAAAUGCGCAGAUAUCAGGAGGAACACCGGUGGCGAAGGCGGAUCUCUGGGCCAUUACUGACGCUGAGGAGCGAAAGCGUGGGGGAGCGAACAGG
RNAcentral lists this ribosomal RNA (254 nucleotides) under uncultured bacterium. Its description in RNAcentral is "partial 16S ribosomal RNA". It matches the Rfam family "Bacterial small subunit ribosomal RNA", at positions 524 to 776 of the family's 1533-position model. The record is from RNAcentral.